Molecule: ribosomal RNA, 250 nt
Filed under: uncultured bacterium
Lineage: Bacteria
Also listed under: 2 other names
Description: partial 16S ribosomal RNA
Rfam family: Bacterial small subunit ribosomal RNA
Source: RNAcentral
UACGUAGGUGGCAAGCGUUGUCCGGAAUUAUUGGGCGUAAAGCGCGCGCAGGCGGUUUCUUAAGUCUGAUGUGAAAGCCCCCGGCUCAACCGGGGAGGGUCAUUGGAAACUGGGGAACUUGAGUGCAGAAGAGGAGAGUGGAAUUCCACGUGUAGCGGUGAAAUGCGUAGAGAUGUGGAGGAACACCAGUGGCGAAGGCGACUCUCUGGUCUGUAACUGACGCUGAGGCGCGAAAGCGUGGGGAGCGAAC